UAGGGAAUCUUCCACAAUGGACGAAAGUCUGAUGGAGCAACGCCGCGUGAGUGAUGAAGGGUUUCGGCUCGUAAAACUCUGUUGUUGGAGAAGAACAGGUGAUAGAGUAACUGUUAUCAUCUUGACGGUAUCCAACCAGAAAGCCACGGCUAACUACGUGCCAGCAGCCGCGGUAAUACGUAGGUGGCAAGCGUUGUCCGGAUUUAUUGGGCGUAAAGCGAGCGCAGGCGGUUUUUUAGGUCUGAUGUGAAAGCCUUCGGCUUAACCGGAGAAGGGCAUCGGAAACCGGGAGACUUGAGUGCAGAAGAGGACAGUGGAACUCCAUGUGUAGCGGUGAAAUGCGUAGAUAUAUGGAAGAACACCAGUGGCGAAGGCGGCUGUCUGGUCUGUAACUGACGCUGAGGCUCGAAAGCAUGGGUAGCGAACAGGAUUAGAUACCCUGGUAGUCCAUGCCGUAAACGAUGAGUGCUAAGUGUUGGAGGG
This 483-nucleotide ribosomal RNA is filed under the name uncultured bacterium. Its description in RNAcentral is "partial 16S ribosomal RNA". It matches the Rfam family "Bacterial small subunit ribosomal RNA", at positions 355 to 830 of the family's 1533-position model. The record is from RNAcentral.